This is a non-coding RNA of Phrynosoma platyrhinos (Desert horned lizard), 72 nucleotides long. The record is from the annotation of a GenBank genome assembly. Lineage: Eukaryota; Metazoa; Chordata; Lepidosauria; Squamata; Phrynosomatidae.
GCCAGUAUAGCAUAAUGAUUAGAGUGCUGGACUAUGACUCUGGAGACCAGGGUUCGAUUCUCCAUUCAGGCA